GCUAGAACAACAGGGAUUGCCUCAGUAACGGCGAGUGAAGCGGCAAGAGCUCAACUUUGGAAUCGCUCCGGCGAGUUGUAGUCUGGAGGUGGCCACCACGAGGUGUUCUAGCAGCAGGCAAGUCCUUUGGAACAAGGCGCCAGCGAGGGUGACAGCCCCGUACCUGCUUUUGCUAGUGCUUCCUGUGGCCCACCGACGAGUCGAGUUGUUUGGGAAUGCAGCUCUAAGUGGGUGGUAAAUUCCAUCUAAGGCUAAAUAUUGGCGAGAGACCGAUAGCGAACAAGUACAGUGAUGGAAAGAUGAAAAGCACUUUGAAAAGAGAGUGAAACAGUACGUGAAAUUGUUGAAAGGGAAGGGCUUGCACCCAGACACGGUUUCGGCCGGGCCAGCAUCAAGUAGAACGGGGUUAAAAGACCUGGGGAAUGUAGCUACCUCUUGGUAGUGUUAUAGCCCUUGGGUGAUGACCCCUGUUUUGCUUGAGGACAGCGGUCUCUAGGAUGCUGGCGCAAUGGUUGCAAGCCACCCGUCUUGAAACACGGACCAAGGAGUCUAACGUCUAUGCGAGUGUACGGGUGAAAAACCCCUGCGCGGAAUGAAAGUAAGAGGUUGGAACCCUCUCGGGGGUGCACAAUCGACCGACCCAGAAGUGCUCGGACGGGUUUGAGUAGGAGCAUAGCUGUUGGGACCCGAAAGAUGGUGAACUAUACCUGAAUAGGGUGAAGCCAGAGGAAACUCUGGUGGAGGCUCGUAGCGGUUCUGACGUGCAAAUCGAUCGUCGAAUUUGGGUAUAGGGGCGAAAGACUAAUCGAACCAUCUAGUAGCUGGUUCCUGCCGAGA
This 837-nucleotide ribosomal RNA is filed under the name Candidozyma auris. RNAcentral describes it as "eukaryotic LSU rRNA". It matches the Rfam family "Eukaryotic large subunit ribosomal RNA", at positions 56 to 966 of the family's 3401-position model. Lineage: Eukaryota; Fungi; Ascomycota; Pichiomycetes; Serinales; Metschnikowiaceae. The record is from RNAcentral.